GAGACGUGAUUUGUAAUUUUCUGUAUGGAAUUUCGAAACACUGAGUCAGAAGCAGUACCAGGUUAAAUUACUUCACCACGGGUCUACGAGCAGAAUCGCCGUUGAGAGCGUCUCUGCUGAAUGAGGAGCCUGCAGCUGGGUCGCUGGACGAACCUGCCUUGAUUCUCAAUCAUUCUGUUACGACAGGUUCUUCGGUCAUUUUUGGAGUCGACUCAUGGAACGAUCUCUCUUCCCCUUUCGUAAGGCAUCAAGCACUGCCACCGUCGUUGCGAACGCACACGAGCGCACACUGGGCCUUUGGAUGGAGGUGUGAAGCACACUGCCAGUCUAAGCACAGGAAACUAACGGAUUUCAUUGCCCAUUUGAUGGACUGGAGUUGACUCCGGAACCAAAACAGGCUUUUUGUUGUUUAAUUUUUGGCUUUUGCAUUAUAUUCUUCCUAUCUAAAUUUCUGUAGUUUAAAACAGCAAGUGCAGCACUCAGACGAUAGUUUGAUGUUUAUUUGUGGUUUUUUUCCUGUAAUUCAGUGUAAUUUUUGUGCUUGAAUAGAAGUAUGUGCAAAAGUACGAGUAA
Paramacrobiotus metropolitanus is the source of this 573-nucleotide long non-coding RNA. RefSeq lists it as uncharacterized. The transcript has 3 exons. The record is from RefSeq and is a predicted model, not a curated record. Lineage: Eukaryota; Metazoa; Tardigrada; Eutardigrada; Parachela; Macrobiotidae.